Non-coding RNA from Potamilus streckersoni, 73 nucleotides. NCBI's taxonomy places the organism in Eukaryota, Metazoa, Mollusca, Bivalvia, Unionida, Unionidae. The record is from the annotation of a GenBank genome assembly.
GCUCCAGUGGCCCAGUUGUGAGAGUGUUCGCCUCUGAUGCGGGAGGUAGCGGGUUUGAGCUCCGGCUGAGUCA